Molecule: ribosomal RNA, 506 nt
Filed under: uncultured bacterium
Lineage: Bacteria
Description: partial 16S ribosomal RNA
Rfam family: Bacterial small subunit ribosomal RNA
Source: RNAcentral
GAUGAACGCUAGCUACAGGCUUAACACAUGCAAGUCGAGGGGUAACGAGAGGAAAGCUUGCUUUCCUUGUCGACGACCGGCGCACGGGUGAGUAACGCGUAUCCAACCUGCCCCCAACUAAGGAAUAACCUUGCGAAAGUAAGACUAAUACCUUAUAAUUUCCUCAGAUGUCAUCUGACGAGGAAUAAAGAUUUAUCGGUUGUGGAUGGGGAUGCGUCUGAUUAGCUUGUUGGCGGGGUAACGGCCCACCAAGGCAACGAUCAGUAGGGGUUCUGAGAGGAAGGUCCCCCACAUUGGAAAUGAGACACGGUCCAAACUCCUGCGGGAGGCAGCAGUGAGGAAUAUUGGUCAAUGGGCGAAAGCCUGAACCAGCCAAGUAGCGUGCAGGAUGACGGCCCUAUGGGUUGUAAACUGCUUUUAUACAGGAAUAAAGUUAGCCACGUGUGGUUAUUUGUAGGUACUGUAUGAAUAAGGACCGGCUAAUUCCGUGCCAGCCGCCGCAGUAA